This is a long non-coding RNA of Bombus terrestris (buff-tailed bumblebee), 1075 nucleotides long. RefSeq lists it as uncharacterized. The record is from RefSeq and is a predicted model, not a curated record. NCBI's taxonomy places the organism in Eukaryota, Metazoa, Arthropoda, Insecta, Hymenoptera, Apidae. The transcript has 3 exons.
UGUCGAGGGUCAGACCCAGAUACUUCAUGCUGGUUCGGACCGCGAUCUCAACCCCCUCCAAUCUCAGGCGAUAGCCUGCGUGGAGACGUCCCGUGAUCGGCCCUGCGGCAGAACCACAUUGCCUCGGCUUUCUCACGGGACAACUUCAGCCCCAAUUCCUUGAUCGCGGUCAUGCAGGCCACCGCCAGCUCCGCCAGACGGACGGUUCUGCCCCACGCCGUGCCCCAGACUAGCACCAACGUGUCGUCGACGUAGCACGCACAUCGGCAUCCGAGCGGGAAACUCGAGGGCUCGGCAUAUUCUGUGCCAGAGGAUGCUGUUGAAGACGUUGACCACGUCCAGCGACACGGCCAAUGCCAUGCAACCAUGCCGCUCGGCCUCCUCGACCAAGGAUCGGACACGGGCGACAGCGUCGGCCGUAGACCGUCUCCUCCGAGAAGUUUGCUUCUACCCGACUACACCAUGGUUAGCAGCCAAGCUGUCCGUAAGGUGGCGACGUCUGGCCAAGGAGACGCGAAUUAUAUUAUCAUGAACAUCACUCGAGACCAUCGCGUGCGCAAUAGAUUCCAUGUCUCGCAUGAUAGAUCUAACAUCGUACGCAACAUGGCGCCGACUGUCAGUCAUAGUACGCACCGUUAUUAUCUUCGCAACUCGAAUGUGAUAAAGUACCAAAAUCGCAAGAUGGUCGAGCAAGAUGUGCAAGUGUAAACCAUGUCACGCUCGCGAGUAUCAUUAAUUGUUCUAACAUCAUGCGUGUUUUAUCCAGAAAAACGUGCAGUGAUAUAAUAUGUCCCUUAGCCUGCAACGUAAUUGUAAUUAAGCACCUCGAUUGAAUUUAUGUGGCGACAUAUCCAGUGAAUUAACGGCGCCUGGACAAUUAUAUCUUCUUAAAAUUAACGGACCACCGACCUCGGCCAGGACUAUUAUGAUUCGCCUUCAUCACAGCCAUAACGAGCAUAAUAUUAACUACGACAAAAAACUAAAAUUAAUAAUUUGACUCUAACUACCGCCACUAUAAUACGACUGGCAUGUAUACUGUAUAAAUAAUUUAUAAUAAAUAACUUGUUUAUAAAUA